Non-coding RNA from Amborella trichopoda, 224 nucleotides. Lineage: Eukaryota; Viridiplantae; Streptophyta; Magnoliopsida; Amborellales; Amborellaceae. The record is from Rfam.
UUUUCUAUAAAUCAGAAUGAUCUGAAAUUUGGAGCGUGUGUUCAUAAAAAAUAGGAUAAUCUAAUAAAAAUAUAAAAAUAAAUAGACUAAAAUUCCUCUGAAAAUUUGUGAGAGUAUUUUGGUCAAUUUAUAUUUUGAAAUUUUUUUUUUCAUAUUUUUAUUAAUUGUCUCUCACUAAGAUGUACACGCACUCCAAAUUUCAGAUCAUUCCGAUUUAUAGAAAA